AGCGGCGAACGGGUGAGUAACACGUGGGUGAUCUGCCCUGCACUUCGGGAUAAGCCUGGGAAACUGGGUCUAAUACCGGAUAUGACCUUCGGCUGCAUGGCCGUUGGUGGAAAGGUUUACUGGUGCAGGAUGGGCCCGCGGCCUAUCAGCUUGUUGGKGGGGUAAUGGCCUACCAAGGCGACGACGGGUAGCCGACCUGAGAGGGUGACCGGCCACACUGGGACUGAGACACGGCCCAGACUCCUACGGGAGGCAGCAGUGGGGAAUAUUGCACAAUGGGCGAAAGCCUGAUGCAGCGACGCCGCGUGAGGGAUGACGGCCUUCGGGUUGUAAACCUCUUUCAGCAGGGACGAAGCGAAAGUGACGGUACCUGCARAAGAAGCACCGGCCAACUACGUGCCAGCAGCCGCGGUAAUACGUAGGGUGCAAGCGUUGUCCGGAAUUACUGGGCGUAAAGAGCUCGUAGGCGGUUUGUCGCGUCGUCUGUGAAAACUCGGGGCUCAACCUCGAGCUUGCAGGGGAUACGGGCAGACUUGAGUACUGCAAGGGAGACUGGGAAUUCCCUGGUGUAGCGGUGAAUGCGCAGAUAUCAGGAGAAACACCGGUGGCGAAGGCGGGUCUCUGGGCA
RNAcentral lists this ribosomal RNA (628 nucleotides) under Rhodococcus sp. NOB1. RNAcentral's name for it is "bacterial SSU rRNA". It matches the Rfam family "Bacterial small subunit ribosomal RNA", at positions 94 to 735 of the family's 1533-position model. Lineage: Bacteria; Bacillati; Actinomycetota; Actinomycetes; Mycobacteriales; Nocardiaceae. The record is from RNAcentral.